This 438-nucleotide ribosomal RNA is filed under the name uncultured bacterium. RNAcentral's name for it is "bacterial SSU rRNA". It matches the Rfam family "Bacterial small subunit ribosomal RNA", at positions 340 to 773 of the family's 1533-position model. The record is from RNAcentral.
UACGGGAGGCAGCAGUGGGGAAUAUUGCACAAUGGGCGCAAGCCUGAUGCAGCCAUGCCGCGUGUAUGAAGAAGGCCUUCGGGUUGUAAAGUACUUUCAGUCGUGAGGAAGGUGUUAAGGUUAAUAACCUUAGCAAUUGACGUUAGCGACAGAAGAAGCACCGGCUAACUCCGUGCCAGCAGCCGCGGUAAUACGGAGGGUGCGAGCGUUAAUCGGAAUUACUGGGCGUAAAGGGCACGCAGGCGGUUAAUUAAGUUGGAUGUGAAAUCCCCGGGCUUAACCUGGGAAUGGCAUUCAAGACUGGUUAGCUAGAGUCUUGUAGAGGGGGUUAGAAUUCCAUGUGUAGCGGUGAAAUGCGUAGAGAUGUGGAGGAAUACCGGUGCGAAGGCGGCCCCUGGACAAGACUGACGCUCAUGUGCGAAAGCGUGGGGAGCAAAC